Molecule: ribosomal RNA, 452 nt
Filed under: uncultured bacterium
Lineage: Bacteria
Description: bacterial SSU rRNA
Rfam family: Bacterial small subunit ribosomal RNA
Source: RNAcentral
AUGAACGCUGGCGGCGUGUCUAAGGCAUGCAAGUCGAACGAGUCUCGCAAGAGGCAAGUGGCGAACGGGUGAGUAACACAUUGGUAACCUGCCCUGAAGUUCGGAACAACCAGGCGAAAGCUUGGCUAAUCCCGGAUGUGAUCCGUCGGCAUGAGCCGGCGGAGGAAAGGCGCAAGCCGCUUCAGGAGGGGCCUAUGGCUUAUCAGCUUGUUGGUGAGGUAAUGGCUCACCAAGGCUAUGACGAGUAGCGGGCGUGAGAGCGCGACCCGCCUCACGGGGACUGAGACACUGCCCCGACUCCUACGGGAGGCUGCAGUCGAGAAUCUUCCACAAUGGACGAAAGUCUGAUGGAGCGACGCCGCGUGCCAGAUGAAGCCCUUCGGGGUGUAAAUGGCUUUUCUCAGGGACGAACUUAUGACGGUACCUGAGGAAUAAGGGGUUGCUAACUCUGU